GACGAACGCUGGCGGCGUGCUUAACACAUGCAAGUCGAACGGAAAGGCCCUGCUUUUGUGGGGUGCUCGAGUGGUGAACGGGUGGGUAACACGUGAGUAACCUGCCCUUGACUUUGGGAUAACUUCAGGAAACUGGGGCUAAUACCGGAUAGGAGCUCCUGCUGCAUGGUGGGGGUUGGAAAGUUUCGGCGGUUGGGGAUGGACUCGCGGCUUAUCAGCUUGUUGGUGGGGUAGUGGCUUACCAAGGCUUUGACGGGUAGCCGGCCUGAGAGGGUGACCGGCCACAUUGGGACUGAGAUACGGCCCAGACUCCUACGGGAGGCAGCAGUGGGGAAUAUUGCACAAUGGGCGGAAGCCUGAUGCAGCAACGCCGCGUGCGGGAUGACGGCCUUCGGGUUGUAAACCGCUUUCGCCUGUGACGAAGCGUGAGUGACGGUAAUGGGUAAAGAAGCACCGGCUAACUACGUG
This 468-nucleotide ribosomal RNA is filed under the name uncultured bacterium. RNAcentral describes it as "partial 16S ribosomal RNA". It matches the Rfam family "Bacterial small subunit ribosomal RNA", at positions 28 to 507 of the family's 1533-position model. The record is from RNAcentral.